Molecule: transfer RNA, 76 nt
Filed under: Candidatus Hydrogenedentota bacterium
Lineage: Bacteria; Pseudomonadati; Candidatus Hydrogenedentota
Also listed under: 1 other name
Description: tRNA-Glu
Rfam family: tRNA
About the family: Transfer RNA (tRNA) molecules are approximately 80 nucleotides in length. Their secondary structure includes four short double-helical elements and three loops (D, anti-codon, and T loops).
Source: RNAcentral
GGCCCGUUCAUCUAGCGGUCUAGGAUGCAGGAUUCUCAGUCCUGUCACAGGGGUUCGAGUCCCCUACGGGCUACCA